AACUGUUUAAUAUCUUCCUAUAUCUGUUUAAUAUAAAUAGAUUGCAAAUCCCUCAAAAAACAUUUCAAUGUUGCUAUUUUGUUUCAGUGACAUUUAUGUAGAUUGGAAGCUUCAACUGAGUUUAAAGUCAGGAGUAUGACAGUUUUUUCGUUUGUUUGAUGUGUUUGAGCUUUUGAUUUUGUCAUUUAAUAGGAGACUUUUCGUUUUGAUUUUUCCUCGGAGUUCAGUAUUUUUGUUGUUUUACUUUUUUUGAAUAAGUCCAUUAUCACUGAGCAGGAUCUAGUCUGGAACUGUGGCCCAAUCUAAUGUGAUGUAGGACAGAAAGCUAUAAUUCUGUUUUAAGAUAACAUUUUUUUCCUUAGAAAACAUUUCUCCAAGAAUCUUUAAUUUACAUCUUUAAUAACAAAUAAUAUAAAGUCUUAUUAGAGAUGUAAAACAUCUAGCUUUAAAAAUAUACCAAGAUAUAAAAUGUAUCACAGUGAAAAAAGUAUGUACAAAUGUUAAGCAAGAAGAUUACAAAAGGUCUUGUGUUAAACCACGAAACAUCUUUUCUGUUCAUUUCUUUUCUUAGAACAACUUUUCACAAUCUUUUCUCUAAGUAGUGGACAUCACUAAUUGAACAUAACUUUUAUAUAAAUGGUGAAUAGUUUUGUUUACAAUUGAGUAUAGCAGUACUUAUAUAAGCACUUUUUUUUUUUUUUAAUUCUCCCAUUAUUUUUGUUAAAAAAUAUAUGGAUCCUAUAUUAUCCCUAUUCUACAAAUUUUUAAUUGAUCUUGCUUACUGAUAAUUUCUGUUCUCGGCGGAGUUAAGUGAUACGAAAACGGAGUCAAUUGAUAUAUAAAUUAUCGCUAGAAUCUAAGGGAACAUGUUCUGUUGACAAGAAAAUUAACAAUGUCUUCAUAGGUAAAAUAGCAAUAAACAGAUUAUCAUUGGUCAUCUCAACUUGAUUGCUUCUUUACUUUCGUUGUACCAGCUCAAGCAAGAAAAUCAAUCUCGUUGAGAUAACCAACGAUAAUGAAUAAAUAUCAAACAGUUUCUAAAUAAAAUAAAUGAAAUGCUCCACUGGGCGCAGCUUAAUGUGACUACAAGGGUCUGGACAGUUGGGGCAAGUAUGGACAACUUAUCCAAGCUUGAUGCAUCUCUGAACUUGGAUUGUGAUUAAAUGUAUGACACAGCAUUGGUUUCUGACAUAGACUGAACUCCCUCAAAGAACUAAAAAAAAUUAAAUUGGACUUUUACGUUUUAUGGUCCAAUAUACAAUAUAUAAAUACACAAUUAUAUUCAGAAUAUCUAAGAUCCCUAUACAUUCAAUUUUUGCUGAAAUCAAAACCAAUUAGUUUUAUCUAGGCCAUUUGGACCUUAAAGUCAUAUUAUUAAAUAAAUUGCUUUGCUGAGCUCAGCUGGAUAGGACUGCAGAGGUCCAACCCCAAACAGUGGGGCAAAAAUGGACCCAAUAUUAACACUUGAUACAGGUCUGAACUUGCAUUGUAAUUAAAUAUUUGACACAUUUGAUAUGCAAAACACAAUGCUGUUGCUAAUUUACCCCCCCCCCCAUACUGGCCCCAUUUAAAAAAAAAAUUAAAAAAAUAAAUAUUGAAUGUGAUAGGAUUACCUCCCUUACACUGCUUUUAAAUUGUCUUAAUUGUUCAUUAACCAGGAAACCCUUGUUUUCCCCCUUUUUUUGCCCUUAAUUCCUAAAUGGUUUUAGCCAUAUACCCACAAAGUCAGUCCUAACCAUCCCUUUGUUGUAUGGAAACUUGUGGUAUAAUUUCAGAGAGAUUCAUACACUUAAACACUGGAAACUACUAAAAUGCUUAUUUGGGUAACCUUUUUGGCCCCUCAUUCCUACACUGUUGAGACCAUAACCCCCAAAAUCAAUCCCAACCUUCCUUUUGAGGUUAUAAACCUUGUGUAUAAAUUUUAUGGAUUUCUAUGUACUUAUACUAAAGUUAUUUUCUGGAAAUCAACUGUCCUUGGAUGAAGCAGAUGACCACAAGGUGAUACCAAAAUAAAAUUAAUCCAAUUUAUUUACUUUUGUCCAUUAAUCAGGAAACCAAUGCGUGCAUAUAUCAUAAACUAAGUCUUCUGUGCUUGAUUUUAUCCUUUUUUACACAUCCAUUUCGUGUUGUCAAAAAAAAUAUUUCAUUUCGUCAGUGUUGUUGUGAAAAUAUGGCUGUUAAUUAAUGGUCGUGUUUAGAAACUGAAGUUUAUCAAUUGUCACCUUUGUAAAAUGAUCAUGUUGUGAAGCCGAAGUUUACAGAUUGUCACCUUUGUAAACAAUCAGCAUGGAUAUUCAGGUAAGAACCUGUAUUACAUGUACAAUACGAUAUAGAUUAUUUCGAUGACAGAGUAAUGUUUAAGUUGACUCUCUCUGCCAAUUUGGUUUUCCCCUUCACACUUGCGUAAUUGCAAUCACAGAAUUUUUAUGAGAAAGGUAACUGCAAACAGAAAACAUUUUGGUUAAUUGUUGGCUGGAAGCAAACAAUUCCGAAACAUUUAAUUUCUUCUGAAUUUGGACAAAUUAUAGAAUUUUUUUCAGAAAAUAGUAUAUGUACAUAAGUUUUAUACAUUGUAAUAAAACCCAGCCAUUUAGUUAUAAAAAAACAUGCAUGAUUUUUUUUAAUUUGAAGGUUCAUAUGACUUUUAAUGUGGUCUAAUUUGAAAACAGAACCCACAAUUUUAAAUCUAAAUGCAAAUUUUAUUCACCAUAAAAAUGUGAAAAAUGCUUGUUUGUGGGCCCCAGUUCUUAAACAGUUAGGACAAUUACCCCCAAAAUUAAUCCCAACUUUCCAUUUGUUGUACAAUUUCAUAGAUUUCAAUAUACUUAUACUCAAAUUUUUGUCUGGAAACCAAAUGUCUUCUGACUACGACAAGAUAAUGACAUUAUACGACUGUAAAAAUAUUUGUGGUUGUUUAAAAAUAUAUGAAAAAAUAAAAUGAUAUUUAGAUUAACUUCAUACCCAUUAAUUAAGAAAAAAUUUGUAAGGGUUCCGCGGAACCCAGUGUCUCGCCUACUUUUGCUGUUAAUCGCAGACUCAACAAAAUGAGGAAAAACAUCAAUAAAAAUUUCCCUCUCGAUACUGUCUUUUGAUUGAAAGAAGCUUCCAAGUUUGGUAAAAAAUCCAGGAUAGUUUAUGAAUCUAAUAAAUGUUGUAUAAACUUUAACUGCAGACUGUAUGUAAUGUUAACUGGAAG
RNAcentral lists this long non-coding RNA (3196 nucleotides) under Mytilus galloprovincialis (Mediterranean mussel). Lineage: Eukaryota; Metazoa; Mollusca; Bivalvia; Mytilida; Mytilidae. The record is from RNAcentral.